This 237-nucleotide ribosomal RNA is filed under the name uncultured Burkholderiales bacterium. Its description in RNAcentral is "partial 16S ribosomal RNA". It matches the Rfam family "Bacterial small subunit ribosomal RNA", at positions 92 to 334 of the family's 1533-position model. Lineage: Bacteria; Pseudomonadati; Pseudomonadota; Betaproteobacteria; Burkholderiales. The record is from RNAcentral.
CGAGUGGCGAACGGGUGAGUAAUGUAUCGGAACGUGCCCAGUAGCGGGGGAUAACUACGCGAAAGCGUAGCUAAUACCGCAUACGCCCUACGGGGAAAGGGGGGAUCGCAAGACCUCUCACUAUUGGAGCGGCCGAUAUCGGAUUAGCUAGUUGGUGAGGUAACGGCUCACCAAGGCGACGAUCCGUAGCUGGUUUGAGAGGACGACCAGCCACACUGGGACUGAGACACGGCCCAG